This 253-nucleotide ribosomal RNA is filed under the name uncultured bacterium. Its description in RNAcentral is "partial 16S ribosomal RNA". It matches the Rfam family "Bacterial small subunit ribosomal RNA", at positions 524 to 776 of the family's 1533-position model. The record is from RNAcentral.
UACAGAGGUCUCAAGCGUUGUUCGGAUUCAUUGGGCGUAAAGGGUGCGUAGGUGGCGGGGUAAGUCAGGUGUGAAAACUCGAGGCUCAACCUCGAAACUGCACUUGAUACUGCCUUGCUCGAGUACUGGAGAGGAGAUUGGAAUUUACGGUGUAGCAGUGAAAUGCGUAGAUAUCGUAAGGAAGACCAGUGGCGAAGGCGAAUCUCUGGACAGUUACUGACACUGAGGCACGAAGGCCAGGGGAGCAAACGGG